AUACGUAGGUGGCAAGCGUUGUCCGGAAUUAUUGGGCGUAAAGCGCGCGCAGGUGGUUCCUUAAGUCUGAUGUGAAAGCCCACGGCUCAACCGUGGAGGGUCAUUGGAAACUGGGGAACUUGAGUGCAGAAGAGGAAAGUGGAAUUCCACGUGUAGCGGUGAAAUGCGUAGAGAUGUGGAGGAACACCAGUGGCGAAGGCGACUUUCUGGUCUGUAACUGACACUGAGGCGCGAAAGCGUGGGGAGCGAACAGGAUUAGAUACCCUGGUAGUCCACGCCGUAAACGAUGAGUGCUAAGUGUUAGAGGGUUUCCGCCCUUUAGUGCUGCAGCAAACGCAUUAAGCACUCCGCCUGGGGAGUACGGCCGCAAGGCUGAA
RNAcentral lists this ribosomal RNA (377 nucleotides) under uncultured bacterium. RNAcentral describes it as "bacterial SSU rRNA". It matches the Rfam family "Bacterial small subunit ribosomal RNA", at positions 523 to 898 of the family's 1533-position model. The record is from RNAcentral.